CCGCAUGGCAGGCAGCUUUUGCUGGUCGCAGCCUUCUUAGAGGGACUAUCGGCUUCAAGCCGAUGGAAGUUUGAGGCAAUAACAGGUCUGUGAUGCCCUUAGAUGUUCUGGGCCGCACGCGCGCUACACUGGCAGAGCCAACGAGUUCAUAGCCUUGUUCGAAAGGACUGGGUAAUCUUGUUAAACUCUGCCGUGCUGGGGAUAGAGCAUUGCAAUUAUUGCUCUUCAACGAGGAAUUCCUAGUAAGCGCAAGUCAUCAGCUUGCGUUGACUACGUCCCUGCCCUUUGUACACACCGCCCGUCGCUACUACCGAUUGAAUGGCUAA
This 326-nucleotide ribosomal RNA is filed under the name uncultured fungus. Its description in RNAcentral is "bacterial SSU rRNA". It matches the Rfam family "Eukaryotic small subunit ribosomal RNA", at positions 1375 to 1700 of the family's 1831-position model. The record is from RNAcentral. Lineage: Eukaryota; Fungi.